GCCGUUGCUCCUUGCAAAUUCGGGGUUUGUUGGUCCCAAAUUUCGAUGAUACGCUCCUUGACAGGCUGUGUGCGGGUCUGCGAUAGACUGGGUGUUCUGGUAGCCACUCCGAAACAGAAAGUCAAAACAGCGAUGCACGAAGUUGAUAUCAGUUAGAAAAUCAGAAAAAAAUGAUGCUAAUUAUCGGAAUUCUGGUAGCUGUGGUCAUUCUCCUCUAUUUGUUACUGGUGAAACCACUCAGUUACUGGAACGAAAAAGGAGUUAAACAAGAAAGCAUUUUACGAGCCCUCUCGUUCAACUGGUUCUCCAUUUUUGGACGACAAAGUGUGGCCCUUUAUGUGAAGAACAUGUAUGAUCAAUUUCCAAACGAAAGAUACAGCGGAAUUUAUCAAAUGAAUGCACCAGUUUUAGUUAUCAGAGAUCCAGAACUGAUGAAACUCAUCUUGGUCAAGAACUUCGAUCAUUUCACAGACCGACGGACAUAUGUUCCUGAAGACAUGGACCCAUUGUGGGCUAAAAAUUUGUUUGCUCUGAAAGGUUCAAAAUGACGGAACAUGCGAUCCACAUUGAGUCCAGCUUUCACCAGCAGCAAAAUGAAGAGAAUGUUCAUUCUCAUAAAAGAUUGUGCUGAAAGUCUUGUGGAACACUUCUCAAAGCAGAAUCAAGAUAUAAUUUCUCUUGAUAUGAAAGAUACUUGCACUCGAUUCUGUAAUGAUGUCAUUGCAACUACAGCAUUUGGCGUUAAGGUAGACUCAUUGGCAGACCCAAACAACGAGUUUUUCCUAAUGGGAAUGAAAGCUACAAAUCUCAACACGUUGAAGAAAACGUUUCAGUUUUUGGGAUAUCUGCUGGCGCCAAAACUAUAUAGGCUUUUCAAUCUGAAAUUUUUCGACCACGAUGUGAGUUCAUUCUUCAGAAAGUUAAUCGAUGAAACUGUUGAAGCUCGAGAAAAAAGAGGUAUAGUCAGGCCUGAUAUGAUACAUUUAUUGAUGGAAGCACGAUCAGGAAUUGUGAAGGAAGAAGAGAUUAGUGUUGAAGAAACUGGAUAUGCUUCUGUUCAAGAAUCAGUUGAGGGUGACACCAUGACCAAUAUAACAAAUGAAGACAUAACAGCCCAAGCCUUGGUAUUUUUCUUCGCUGGAUUCGAAUCACUAUCAUCCGUGAUGUGUUUCAUGGCAUAUGAAUUAGCCGUUAACCAAGAUAUUCAAGAAAAGUUGAGAAUGGAAAUUAGCGAGAGUUUUGAAAAGUGUGGAGGUGAACUGACCUAUGCCGUUCUAGUGAAUAUGAAAUAUUUGGAUAUGGUUGUGUCAGAGGUUCUUCGGAAGUGGCCGACCCAAACUGCUGCAGAAAGAGUGUGUAGUGAGGCCUACACUAUUAUUCCAACAACUCCAGAAGAACAACCUCUACAUUUAGAAAAAGGAAGUAUUAUUGUUUUUCCUCAAUUUGGAAUUCACCGGGAUCCGAAGUAUUUUCCAGAUCCAGAACGUUUUGAUCCCGAAAGAUUCAAUGACGAAAAUAAAAGCAAUAUAGUACCGUUUUCGUAUCAACCUUUCGGACAAGGACCAAGGAACUGUAUCGGCUCCAGAUUUGCUUUGUUGGAAAUGAAAGUUUUAUUCUUCUACCUCCUGCUGAAUUUUGAAAUUGUACCCAUAGAAAGGACAAGGAUUCCGUUAGUUCUUUCGAAAAGUUCGAUCCUUGUUUCCGUUGAAGGUGGUUUUUGGAUGGGAUUGAAGCAUAUUGAGAAAUGAAUCCUAUAUUUUUCAAAGAGUACUUUCAAAACUAUAUUUAUUUGUAUAAUUGUUAUUGAAAUAAUGAAUUUGUUUGAAUAA
Molecule: non-coding RNA, 1829 nt
Organism: Leptinotarsa decemlineata (Colorado potato beetle)
Lineage: Eukaryota; Metazoa; Arthropoda; Insecta; Coleoptera; Chrysomelidae
Source: RefSeq, a predicted model, not a curated record